RNAcentral lists this ribosomal RNA (194 nucleotides) under uncultured bacterium. RNAcentral's name for it is "partial 16S ribosomal RNA". It matches the Rfam family "Bacterial small subunit ribosomal RNA", at positions 338 to 524 of the family's 1533-position model. The record is from RNAcentral.
CCUACGGGAGGCAGCAGUGGGGAAUAUUGCACAAUGGGGGAAACCCUGAUGCAGCCAUGCCGCGUGUGUGAAGAAGGCCUUCGGGUUGUAAAGCACUUUCAGUCAGGAGGAAAGGUGGCUAGCUAAUAUCUAGUUGCUGUGACGUUACUGACAGAAGAAGCACCGGCUAACUCCGUGCCAGCAGCCGCGGUAAU